RNAcentral lists this small nuclear RNA (96 nucleotides) under Propithecus coquereli (Coquerel's sifaka). The record is from RNAcentral. Lineage: Eukaryota; Metazoa; Chordata; Mammalia; Primates; Indriidae.
GUGCUCGCUUCAGCAGCACAUAUACUAAAAUUGGAACGAUACAGAGAAGAUUAGCAUGGCCAAAAAAUAAAAAUAAAAGAAAUUUUUUUAAUUCUA